This 441-nucleotide ribosomal RNA is filed under the name uncultured bacterium. Its description in RNAcentral is "partial 16S ribosomal RNA". It matches the Rfam family "Bacterial small subunit ribosomal RNA", at positions 338 to 795 of the family's 1533-position model. The record is from RNAcentral.
CCUACGGGGGGCUGCAGUGAGGGAUAUUGGGCAAUGGACGCAAGUCUGACCCAGCGACGCCGCGUGGAGGAGAAGGGCUUCGGCUCGUAAACUCCUUUUCCCGAGGACGAGACAAGGACGGUACUCGGGGAAUAAGUCUCGGCUAACUACGUGCCAGCAGCCGCGGUAAUACGUAGGAGGCAAGCGUUCUCCGGAAUUACUGGGCGUAAAGGGCGUCUAGGUGGCAGCCCAAGCGGGGUGGGAAAGCUCCUGGCUUAACUGGGAGAGUGCGCUCCGAACUGGGCAGCUAGAGGGCAGGCGACGGAGGUGGAAUACCCGGUGGAGUGGUGAAAUGCGUAGAGAUCGGGUGGAACACCAGUGGCGAAGGCGGCCUUCGAGCCUGUGCCUGACACUGAAGCGCGAGAGCGUGGGGAGCAAACGGGAUUAGAUACCCUAGUAGUC